RNAcentral lists this ribosomal RNA (466 nucleotides) under uncultured bacterium. RNAcentral's name for it is "partial 16S ribosomal RNA". It matches the Rfam family "Bacterial small subunit ribosomal RNA", at positions 28 to 507 of the family's 1533-position model. The record is from RNAcentral.
GAUGAACGCUGGCGGCGUGCUUAACACAUGCAAGUCGAACGGAAAGGCCCAAGCUUGCUUGGGUACUCGAGUGGCGAACGGGUGAGUAACACGUGGGUGAUCUGCCCUGCACUUCGGGAUAAGCCUGGGAAACUGGGUCUAAUACCGGAUAGGACCACUUCUUGGAUGUUGUGGUGAAAGGUUUUUCGGGGGGGGGUGAGCUCGCGGCCUAUCAGCUUGUUGGUGGGGUAAUGGCCUACCAAGGCGGCGACGGGUAGCCGGCCUGAGAGGGUGUACGGCCACAUUGGGACUGAGAUACGGCCCAGACUCCUACGGGAGGCAGCAGUGGGGAAUAUUGCACAAUGGGCGCAAGCCUGAUGCAGCGACGCCGCGUGGGGGAUGACGGCCUUCGGGUUGUAAACUCCUUUCGCUAGGGACGAAGCGUUUUGUGACGGUACCUGGAGAAGAAGCACCGGCUAACUACGUG